UACGAGGGGGGCGAGCGUUGUUCGGAAUUAUUGGGCGUAAAGGGCGCGUAGGCGGUGCGGUAAGUCACCUGUGAAACCUCUGGGCUCAACUCAGAGCCUGCAGGCGAAACUGCCGUGCUGGAGUGUGGGAGAGGUGCGUGGAAUUCCCGGUGUAGCAGUGAAAUGCGUAGAUAUCGGGAGGAACACCUGUGGCGAAAGCGGCGCACUGGACCACAACUGACGCUGAGGCGCGAAAGCUAGGGGAGCAAACAGG
RNAcentral lists this ribosomal RNA (253 nucleotides) under uncultured bacterium. RNAcentral describes it as "partial 16S ribosomal RNA". It matches the Rfam family "Bacterial small subunit ribosomal RNA", at positions 524 to 776 of the family's 1533-position model. The record is from RNAcentral.